Manis pentadactyla (Chinese pangolin) is the source of this 465-nucleotide long non-coding RNA. RefSeq lists it as uncharacterized. The transcript has 3 exons. The record is from RefSeq and is a predicted model, not a curated record. NCBI's taxonomy places the organism in Eukaryota, Metazoa, Chordata, Mammalia, Pholidota, Manidae.
CAAAUGAGUGUGGCAUUACUGUGGUAAGUAUUCUGCACGUAUCCGCCAUCACGCUGGAACGUGGGAGGCCUGCACCCCAUGGAGAGGUGGAGAUGGUGAUGGCAGUCACAAUGCUUAUUACUGUUGUGUUACUAAUAAACUACAAAGAUGUGUAACGCACAUGAAGGAACAACAGUUCUGCUUCAGACGGUCUUGGAAUCUCCAGUUCCAAAUACAACAAUCCAAGGGCCCAAAGAAGGCAGAGCAUCUUCAGAGAGAACUAAUACAGAAUGAGCAGUGCUACUGCAAUGGAAUGUGUUGUUUCAAAUAUAUGGACUCAUCUGUUCCUCAAAAUGGCACUGAGAGCAAUUAGAAGAACUGAAGAGGCGAGAGGCCUCCAAUGAUGGCUGCUUAGAAGUUGAAAUGCUGUCGCCUUAGACUAGAAAACAAUGUGCGCUCAUCUCCUGCAGCUUUUAGACCGCACAC